RNAcentral lists this ribosomal RNA (468 nucleotides) under uncultured bacterium. RNAcentral describes it as "partial 16S ribosomal RNA". It matches the Rfam family "Bacterial small subunit ribosomal RNA", at positions 28 to 507 of the family's 1533-position model. The record is from RNAcentral.
GACGAACGCUGGCGGCGUGCUUAACACAUGCAAGUCGAACGGAAAGGCCCUGCUUUUGUGGGGUGCUCGAGCGGCGAACGGGUGAGUAACACGUGAGUAACCUGCCCUUGACUUUGGGAUAACUUCAGGAAACUGGGGCUAAUACCGGAUAGGAGCUCCUGCUGCAUGGUGGGGGUUGGAAAGUUUCGGCGGUUGGGGAUGGACUCGCGGCUUAUCAGCUUGUUGGUGGGGUAGUGGCUUACCAAGGCUUUGACGGGUAGCCGGCCUGAGGGGGUGACCGGCCACAUUGGGACUGAGAUACGGCCCAGACUCCUACGGGAGGCAGCAGUGGGGAAUAUUGCACAAUGGGCGGAAGCCUGAUGCAGCAACGCCGCGUGCGGGAUGACGGCCUUCGGGUUGUAAACCGCUUUCGCCUGUGACGAAGCGUGAGUGACGGUAAUGGGUAAAGAAGUACCGGCUAACUACGUG